GCGGGGCGGGGCGGCGGGAGGCGCUGUCAGCGCGAGGCGGCGAGCGGAAUGCAGCGGCCCGAGGCCUGGCCACGUCCGCACCCGGGGGAGGGGGCCGCGGCCGCCCAGACCGGGGCCCCAGCACCGCCCGCCCCGGCCGGGGAGCCCGCGGGGUCGCGGUUGCAGGAACCUUCCCUCUACACCAUCAAGGCUGUUUUCAUCCUAGAUAGUGACGGACGCCGCCUGCUGGCCAAGUAUUAUGAUGACACAUUCCCCUCUAUGAAGGAGCAGAUGGCCUUCGAGAAAAAUGUCUUCAAUAAGACCAACCGGACUGACAGUGAGAUUGCGUUUUUCGGGGGCAUGACCAUCGUCUACAAGAGCAGCAUCGACCUCUUCCUGUACGUGGUGGGCUCAUCCCAGGAGAAUGAGCUGAUGCUCAUGUCUGUUCUCACCUGCCUGUUUGAGUCCCUGAACCACGUGUUAAGGAAGAACGUGGAGAAGGGCUGGCUGAUGGAUAACAUGGAUGGAGCCUUCCUGGUGCUGGAUGAGAUUGUGGAUGGCGGCGUGAUUCUGGAGAGCGACCCUCAGCAAGUGAUCCAGAAAGUGAAUUUUAGGGCAGACGACGGAGGCUUGACUGAGCAGAGUGUGGCCCAGGUCUCUCUGCACAGACUAAUCCUGGUUUUAUGGAGCUUCCUGCCCCGGCACUAACUCCCUCCUGCUGUGGUGGCCCAGGCCUAGACGGGUGUGUAGCAUCCGUGCGGAGCCCUGGGUUCUUCAGUCUGCCAAGGAACAAAUUAAAUGGUCAUUACUGAAAUGAAGGCUGUGCAUUCGAGGCUCCCUGCCCCCAGAUAAUUUCCCCAAUCCUGGCAAAAACUCCGAGACCCCAGGGGACAGGAGAGGCCCCUCUGUAUGCCCAGGACCUCCCAGAACCAACUCCCGAGGUCUCGGGGCAGAGACUCUGAAAUGAGAAAAAAAUUGGCUUUGGCACCGAGUCACCACUUCUCACUGCCCUGGCCUGCUCCUUGGGCCUCGAGAACCAGCCGAGUUAAACUCAGUCCUUAGGUAUCCCUGAACCCAGAGCCCUAAUAAACCUGCUCUUGUCUCCUA
Myotis daubentonii (Daubenton's bat) is the source of this 1086-nucleotide RNA transcript. It is a transcript of the gene named coat protein complex I subunit zeta 2, with no coding region annotated. Lineage: Eukaryota; Metazoa; Chordata; Mammalia; Chiroptera; Vespertilionidae. The record is from RefSeq and is a predicted model, not a curated record.